Molecule: non-coding RNA, 71 nt
Organism: Danio rerio (zebrafish)
Lineage: Eukaryota; Metazoa; Chordata; Actinopteri; Cypriniformes; Danionidae
Source: Rfam
ACUUUGGUGGUUCAGUGGUAGCAUUCUCGCCUGCCACGCGGGAGACCCGGCUCUGAUUCCCGGCCAAUGCA